This 398-nucleotide ribosomal RNA is filed under the name uncultured bacterium. RNAcentral's name for it is "bacterial SSU rRNA". It matches the Rfam family "Bacterial small subunit ribosomal RNA", at positions 355 to 769 of the family's 1533-position model. The record is from RNAcentral.
UGGGGAAUAUUGCACAAUGGGGGAAACCCUGAUGCAGCGACGCCGCGUGGAGGAAGAAGGUCUUCGGAUUGUAAACUCCUGUUGUCGAGGAAGAUAAUGACGGUACUCAACAAGGAAGUGACGGCUAACUACGUGCCAGCAGCCGCGGUAAAACGUAGGUCACAAGCGUUGUCCGGAAUUACUGGGUGUAAAGGGAGCGCAGGCGGGAGAACAAGUUGGAAGUGAAAUCCAUGGGCUCAACCCAUGAACUGCUUUCAAAACUGUUUUUCUUGAGUAGUGCAGAGGUAGGUGGAAUUCCCGGUGUAGCGGUGGAAUGCGUAGAUAUCGGGAGGAACACCAGUGGCGAAGGCGGCCUACUGGGGCACCAACUGACGCUGAGGCUCGAAAGUGUGGGUAGC